This 280-nucleotide long non-coding RNA is filed under the name Capsella rubella. RNAcentral's name for it is "long non-coding RNA (CRUB_LNC001227)". The record is from RNAcentral. Lineage: Eukaryota; Viridiplantae; Streptophyta; Magnoliopsida; Brassicales; Brassicaceae.
GUGAGUAGGUCUUGUAUGUUGUUAUAUCUUGUUUUUAAUCACAAAAAGACAAUAUAUUUCUCAAUCUACACUAAAUUUCUGAAAAUGGUAUCAUGUGUGUUAUUGAAUAUCAAUAGGUUUUUUUUUAAGUGUUUUUUUUUCUCUUUCAGUACGAAGAGGAUUUGAUAUGUACAUAACGGUUAUCCACUUAAUCAGUCUUGAUUUCCUUUCAGAAUGAAGAAAAAUCAACGAACAAUUGUUUAUCAAUCGAUAUAAAAAGUAAAGAUUUGGUGUUCUUAAA